This 254-nucleotide ribosomal RNA is filed under the name uncultured bacterium. RNAcentral describes it as "partial 16S ribosomal RNA". It matches the Rfam family "Bacterial small subunit ribosomal RNA", at positions 524 to 776 of the family's 1533-position model. The record is from RNAcentral.
UACGUAGGGGGCUAGCGUUGUCCGGAAUCAUUGGGCGUAAAGAGCGUGUAGGCGGCCCGGUAAGUCCGCUGUGAAAGUCGGGGGCUCAACCCUCGAAUGCCGGUGGAUACUGUCGGGCUAGAGUGCGGAAGAGGCGAGUGGAAUUCCUGGUGUAGCGGUGAAAUGCGCAGAUAUCAGGAGGAACAACAAUUGCGAAGGCGGCAUCCUGGACCAACACUGACGCUGAGUGAGCGAAAGCCAGGGGAGCAAACGGG